UAUCGACUGUGCACAUUGCAGACUUUGCCGGUGGACAUAUGGGACGAGAGUUUUAGUGUUUUGAUUCUUUUGGAUAUCUGAAAACUAGACGAAAAACCUCAGUAAAAUGACCACACUUCGACCUUUUACCUGUGACGACCUCUUUAAGUUUAAUAAUGUAAACUUUGACCCACUUACGGAGACUUAUGGUCUGUCCUUCUACACGCAUUACUUGGCCAAGUGGCCGGAGUACUUCCAACUGGCGGAGUCUCCUAGCGGCCAAAUAAUGGGCUACAUCAUGGGCAAGGUUGAGGGUCAUCUGGACAAUUGGCACGGGCAUGUUACGGCUCUGACAGUCUCGCCUGACUAUCGGCGUCUCGGCCUGGCAGCACUUCUCAUGAGCUUUUUGGAAGACAUUUCGGAGAAAAAGAGAGCAUACUUCGUUGACUUGUUUGUAAGGAAGAGCAAUCAGGUGGCGAUUAACAUGUACACGAAUCUCGGCUAUAUCAUCUACCGGACCAUACUGGAGUAUUACUCCGGUGAUCAGGACGAGGAUGCGUACGACAUGAGAAAGGCCUUAUCCAGGGACGUAAACAAGAAGUCGGUCAUACCGUACACGCAGCCUGUACGACUGGAAGAUAUAGAUAUGAAUUGAUACGAUAUCAACCCAGUAGCGCCUGAAAUCGCAUUUAUGUCUAACUGAUCCCGAUCCACCAUUUUUAACGGGCGCGAGCGCAUCAAUUCGCAGCCCAUUGGUUUCUUAGUUAAUUUAGUUAUGUAAAUAAUCCGUAAUCCUUUAAUCAUCUCGGUAAUAACAUCCCAUUCAACUUUAACCGAUGUCCUGCUUGUGAACCAAAUUUUCCAGCAACAUUUACAUGCAUAUACCAACCAAAACGUAAUACCUGUAAUUAAGUACAUGUUCGGCCUCGUUACAAAAUUAAGCUCGAAUUUUCGAUAAUUCUAUUGACUUUGAAAUUAUUUAAAGAUUUCGUAAGCCGAUGAGUAAAUAACUGUUAUUCAAAGAUUGUUCCACAGUUCUGAAGAUCACCAUGCGCGAGCUGCGCAGGCAAAUGCGGCACGAUCACUGAAUGGGAUACAUCACCUCAGUGGAUAAAUAUGUAUAAGCAUACUAUACCGGCCUUGUCGAAUCCCAAAUACCAACAUAUUGCGUAGAAAUCCCUUUUACUGAAAUAUACAACUGAAAUUUA
RNA transcript from Drosophila eugracilis, 1187 nucleotides. It is a transcript of the gene named N-alpha-acetyltransferase 20, with no coding region annotated. The record is from RefSeq and is a predicted model, not a curated record. NCBI's taxonomy places the organism in Eukaryota, Metazoa, Arthropoda, Insecta, Diptera, Drosophilidae. The transcript has 6 exons.